RNAcentral lists this ribosomal RNA (492 nucleotides) under uncultured bacterium. Its description in RNAcentral is "partial 16S ribosomal RNA". It matches the Rfam family "Bacterial small subunit ribosomal RNA", at positions 29 to 507 of the family's 1533-position model. The record is from RNAcentral.
AGUGAACGCUGGCGGUAGGCCUAACACAUGCAAGUCGAACGGCAGCACAGUAAGAGCUUGCUCUUACGGGUGGCGAGUGGCGGACGGGUGAGGAAUACAUCGGAAUCUACUUUUUCGUGGGGGAUAACGUAGGGAAACUUACGCUAAUACCGCAUACGACCUACGGGUGAAAGCAGGGGAUCUUCGGACCUUGCGCGAUUGAAUGAGCCGAUGUCGGAUGAGCUAGUUGGCGGGGUAAAGGCCCACCAAGGCGACGAUCCGUAGCUGGUCUGAGAGGAUGAUCAGCCACACUGGAACUGAGACACGGUCCAGACUCCUACGGGAGGCAGCAGUGGGGAAUAUUGGACAAUGGGCGCAAGCCUGAUCCAGCCAUACCGCGUGGGUGAAGAAGGCCUUCGGGUUGUAAAGCCCUUUUGUUGGGAAAGAAAAGCAGCAGGUUAAUACCCCGCUGUUCUGACGGUACCCAAAGAAUAAGCACCGGCUAACUUCGUG